UGUAGGAGUGAGCCUGCUCGCGAUAGCGGUCUGCCAUUCAACAUAUCAUUGACUGAUUGACCGCUAUCGCGAGCAGGCUCACUCCUACA
This 89-nucleotide unclassified non-coding RNA is filed under the name Pseudomonas moraviensis. The record is from RNAcentral. Lineage: Bacteria; Pseudomonadati; Pseudomonadota; Gammaproteobacteria; Pseudomonadales; Pseudomonadaceae.